Achroia grisella is the source of this 993-nucleotide long non-coding RNA. RefSeq lists it as uncharacterized. The record is from RefSeq and is a predicted model, not a curated record. The transcript has 3 exons. NCBI's taxonomy places the organism in Eukaryota, Metazoa, Arthropoda, Insecta, Lepidoptera, Pyralidae.
ACUGAGGUAGAUAUUGUACAAAAUCUUUUGCAUGAAUGGGUACCCUGUUUCACCUAACUCUGCUUUCAAGCCCCUUGCAUUGGUAUUACGUUACGAUCUAUGGUAUUGAUUACAUCAUUACAGGAUAUAUUAGAUUAUGGAGUCAAAACACCAUAGUCCUUCGGAAUUGCAACUGACGAAAGAAUGCUCAGUAGUCAAACGGAUACGAGUCGGGAAGGUCAAUUCGAGUUGGCACCUUCUGCUAAUUAAAAUUGAGUGAUGGCGAUCCUGAGAGUUCUAUUCCUGUUAAUGACAAUAUUAUUAAGUUUGGUGGCUAGUGGUCAGUUGAAAAAUGUGGAUCCUGUAAAAUGUCCCAUCGACAAGAUACCAAUAAAACUGGGCACAGCAAGUGUGUGCGUACCUAAAAAUUACACAUUACCAGCAGAGGAGACGCGGCGCUGAAGACAAAGUACCCUAUUACAGGCGUAAAUGAAACAAACUGUGAUUAGAUAAUUAAAUUCUCAGUAGGUCUACGACUAACAAUAUUGAAAAUUCAGUUAAGGUACUUACGUCGGUUACUAAUUGUUUUUAAUUAGUAUAUAUUUUUAGAUAUAAAAUGUAUACCUAAAAUAUGCCUAAUAUAAGUAUCUAUAUCGAUAUUACAAUCAUAUUUAACAUAACUUGAAAAUUGCUACACUAAACAGUGAUGCAAUUCACUAUAGGCAAUAGAGACACCUCAUAAUUAAUCUCAAUAAAAAAGUUAUGAGGAAAUGUAUGUAAAUGUUAUAAAUUAUACAAUAAGCUCAUAAAUCUAUAUCAUUGCCUAAUUUUAUAAAUGAGAUUAAUUAAUUAUUAAUUUUGUAACUACAUUAUGUAUGGAAAAUUUGGUCAUCAACUACGCUGGUAGAAAUAAUAUAAUAAGGCACAUUAAAUAAUCAUUUACAUAUAGAUAUAUAGAAAUUAUUGCAAUUAUAAAUUUUAAUGAAUAACCUUAUCAUUUUUGAUAAGAAACUA